AAUAUUGGACAUUGUGCGAAAGCCUGAUCCAGCCAUGCCGCGUGUGUGAAGAAGGUUUUCGGAUUGUAAAGCACUUUAAGUCGGGAGUAAGGGCAGUAAGUUAAUACCUUGCUGUUUUCACGUUACCUACAGAAUAAGCCCCGGCUAACUUCGUUCCAGCAGCCGCGGUAAUACGAAGGGUGCAAGCGUUAAUCGGGAUUACUGGGCGUAAAGCGCGCGUAGGUGGUUUGUUAAGUUGGAAGUGAAAGCCCCGGGCUCAACCUGGGAACUGCUUUCAUAACUGCUGAGCUAGAGUACGGUAGAGGGUAGUGGAAUUUCCUGUGUAGCGGUGAAAUGCGUAGAUAUAGGAAGGAACACCAGUGGCGAAGGCGACUACCUGGACUGAUACUGACACUGAGGUGCGAAAGCGUGGGGAGCAAACAGG
Molecule: ribosomal RNA, 424 nt
Filed under: uncultured bacterium
Lineage: Bacteria
Description: partial 16S ribosomal RNA
Rfam family: Bacterial small subunit ribosomal RNA
Source: RNAcentral